GUGUCAGCCGCCGCGGUAAUACAGAGGGUGCAAGCGUUGUUCGGAAUUAUUGGGCGUAAAGCGCGUGUAGGCGGCUCAGCAAGUCAGGUGUGAAAGCCCUCGGCUUAACCGAGGAAGUGCGCCUGAAACUACUGAGCUUGAGUGCCGGAGAGGGUGGCGGAAUUCCCGGUGUAGAGGUGAAAUUCGUAGAUAUCGGGAGGAACACCAGCGGCGAAGGCGGCCACCUGGACGGUAACUGACGCUGAGACGCGAAAGCGUGGGGAGCAAACAGGAUUAGAAACCCCCGUAGUCC
Molecule: ribosomal RNA, 292 nt
Filed under: uncultured bacterium
Lineage: Bacteria
Description: partial 16S ribosomal RNA
Rfam family: Bacterial small subunit ribosomal RNA
Source: RNAcentral